This 440-nucleotide ribosomal RNA is filed under the name uncultured bacterium. RNAcentral's name for it is "partial 16S ribosomal RNA". It matches the Rfam family "Bacterial small subunit ribosomal RNA", at positions 338 to 795 of the family's 1533-position model. The record is from RNAcentral.
CCUACGGGAGGCAGCAGUGGGGGAUAUUGCACAAUGGGGGAAACCCUGAUGCAGCGACGCCGCGUGAGUGAAGAAGUACUUCGGCAUGUAAAGCUCUAUCAGCAGGGAAGAAAAUGACAGUACCUGACCAAGAAGCCCCGGCGAACUACGUGCCAGCAGCCGCGGGAAUACGUAGGGGGCAAGCGUUAACCGGAUUUACUGGGUGGAAAGGGAGCGUAGACGGUUAAGUAAGUCUGGAGUGAAAGCCCGGGGCCCAACCCCGGGACUGCCUUGGAAACUGUGUGACUGGAGUACGGGAGGGGCAGGCGGAAUUCCUGGUGUAGCGGUGAAAUGCGUAGAUAUCAGGAGGAACACCGGCGGCGAAGGCGGCCUGCUGGACCGAGACUGACGUUGAGGCUCGAAAGCGUGGGGAGCGAACAGGAUUAGAUACCCGAGUAGUC